RNAcentral lists this ribosomal RNA (2217 nucleotides) under Eubacterium saphenum ATCC 49989. RNAcentral describes it as "bacterial LSU rRNA". It matches the Rfam family "Bacterial large subunit ribosomal RNA", at positions 691 to 2925 of the family's 2925-position model. The record is from RNAcentral. Lineage: Bacteria; Bacillati; Bacillota; Clostridia; Peptostreptococcales; Anaerovoracaceae.
GGCGAGAAGUUGCAUGCUGUAGACCCGAAACCGGGUGAUCUAUCCAUGUGCAGGUUGAAGCGAGAGUAAAAUCUCGUGGAGGACCGAACCUGUAUCUGUUGAAAAAGGUUAGGAUGACGUGUGGAUAGGGGUGAAAUUCCAAUCGAACUCGGAGAUAGCUGGUUCUCCUCGAAAUAGCUUUAGGGCUAGCCUCAAGAAAAGAUUAACGGAGGUAGAGCACUGAAUGUUUGCGGGACCUUCACCGGUUACCAAAAACUAUCAAACUCCGAAUGCCGUAUAAUUAUACUUGGGAGUCAGACUAUGUGAGAUAAGUUUCAUAGUCGAAAGGGAAACAGCCCAGACCUACAGCUAAGGUCCCAAAAUAUAAGUUAAGUGGAAAAGGAUGUGAAGUUGCACAAACAGCUAGGAUGUUGGCUUAGAAGCAGCCAUACAUUUAAAGAGUGCGUAACAGCUCACUAGUCGAGUGAUUUUGCGCCGAAGAUAAACGGGGCUAAAACUUAUUACCGAAGCUUGGGAAUUUAAAAUAAAUUGGUAGAGGAGCGUCCUAUGUGGGUUGAAGUUGUGCCGGAAGGCAUGGUGGACUGCAUAGGAGUGAGAAUGUUGGCAUGAGUAGCGAGAGACAGGUGAGAAUCCUGUCGGCCGAAAAUCUAAGGUUUCCUGAGCAAGGUUCGUCCGCUCAGGGUUAGUCGGGACCUAAGCUGAGGGCGAAAGCCAUAGGCGAUGGACAACAGGUUGAUAUUCCUGUACCACCGAUAGUCGUUAAGAGUGAAGUGGGGACACAGAAGGAUAGGUUAAGCGUGCCGUUGGUAGAGCACGUACAAGCGUUAAGGUAGUUGCAGCAGGCAAAUCCACUGCAAUAAUACUGAGGCGUUAUGUGGAGGGAAAUUAAGUACCGGAAGUAACUGAUUUCAUGCUGUCAAGAAAAUCCGCUAGCAAGACUAAAGGUGCCCGUACCGCAAACCGACACAGGUAGAUGAGGAGAGAAUCCUAAGGCCAGCGAGAUAACUAUUGUUAAGGAACUCGGCAAAAUAACCCCGUAACUUUGGGAGAAGGGGUACCUACGCAAGUAGGUCGCAGUGAAUAGGCCCAGGCGACUGUUUAGCAAAAACACAGGUCUCUGCAAAAGCGAAAGCUGAAGUAUAGGGGCUGACGCCUGCCCAGUGCUGGAAGGUUAAGGUGAAGUGUAAGGGUAACCGAAGCACAGAACUUAAGCCCCAGUAAACGGCGGCCGUAACUAUAACGGUCCUAAGGUAGCGAAAUUCCUUGUCAGGUAAGUUCUGACCCGCACGAAAGGCGUAACGAUCUGGGCGCUGUCUCAACAAUAGACUCGGUGAAAUUGUAGUACCGGUAAAGAUGCCGGUUACCCGCAGCAGGACGGAAAGACCCCGUGGAGCUUUACUGUAACUUGAUAUUGAGUUUCGGUGUUAUGCGUACAGGAUAGGUGGGAGACUAAGAAUCUGGAGCGCCAGUUUUAGAGGAGUCAAUGUUGGGAUACCACCCUUGUAGCAUUGGAAUUCUAACCCGGUAGCAUCAUCUGCUACGGGGACAGUGUCUGGUGGACAGUUUGACUGGGGCGGUCGCCUCCUAAAGAGUAACGGAGGCGCCCAAAGGUUCCCUCAGCGCGGACGGAAAUCGCGCAUAGAGUGCAAAGGCAGAAGGGAGCUUGACUGCGAGACCAACAAGUCGAGCAGGGACGAAAGUCGGGCUUAGUGAUCCGGUGGCAUCCGAGUGGAAGGGCCAUCGCUCAACGGAUAAAAGCUACCCCGGGGAUAACAGGCUGAUACCGCCCAAGAGUUCACAUCGACGGCGGUGUUUGGCACCUCGAUGUCGGCUCGUCUCAUCCUGGGGCUGGAGUAGGUCCCAAGGGUUGGGCUGUUCGCCCAUUAAAGAGGUACGCGAGCUGGGUUCAGAACGUCGGGAGACAGUUCGGUCCCUAUCCGCUGUGGGCGUUGGAAAUUUGAGUGGAGCUGUUCCUAGUACGAGAGGACCGGAAUGGACAUACCUAUGGUGUACCGGUUGUUCUGCCAAGGGCAUAGCCGGGUAGCUAAGUAUGGAAAGGAUAAGCGCUGAAAGCAUCUAAGUGCGAAGCCAACCACAAGAUAAGAUUUCCUCCAGCAAUGGUAAGACCCGUGAGAGACUAUCACGUUGAUAGGUCGGAGGUGUAAGUGCAGUAAUGUAUUUAGCUGACCGAUACUAAUAGGUCGAACGCUUGACCAA